UCCAGACUCCUACGGGAGGCAGCAGUGAGGAAUAUUGGUCAAUGGCCGGAAGGCUGAACCAGCCAAGUCGCGUGAGGGACGACUGCCCUAUGGGUUGUAAACCUCUUUUAUAAGGGAAGAAUAAAUGCUACGUGUAGCAUGAUGCCUGUACCUUAUGAAUAAGCACCGGCUAACUCCGUGCCAGCAGCCGCGGUAAUACGGGGGGUGCAAGCGUUGUCCGGAAUCAUUGGGCGUAAAGCGUUCGUAGGCGGUAAAGUAAGUCAGAUGUUAAAGCCCGGGGCUCAACUCCGGUUCGGCAUUUGAUACUACUUGACUAGAAUGCGGUAGAGGUAAAGGGAAUUCCUGGUGUAGCGGUGAAAUGCGUAGAUAUCAGGAGGAACAUCGGUGGCGAAAGCGCUUUACUGGGCCGUUAUUGACGCUGAGGAACGAAAGCCAGGGUAGCAAACGGGAUUAGAUACCCGAGUA
This 465-nucleotide ribosomal RNA is filed under the name uncultured bacterium. RNAcentral's name for it is "bacterial SSU rRNA". It matches the Rfam family "Bacterial small subunit ribosomal RNA", at positions 330 to 792 of the family's 1533-position model. The record is from RNAcentral.